RNAcentral lists this ribosomal RNA (493 nucleotides) under uncultured Sphingobacteriales bacterium. Its description in RNAcentral is "bacterial SSU rRNA". It matches the Rfam family "Bacterial small subunit ribosomal RNA", at positions 904 to 1382 of the family's 1533-position model. The record is from RNAcentral. Lineage: Bacteria; Pseudomonadati; Bacteroidota; Sphingobacteriia; Sphingobacteriales.
AGCCCGCUCAGAAACGUAAAGAAUUGAGGGGCCCGCACAAGCGGAGGAGCAUGUGGUUUAAUUCGAUGAUACGCGAGGAACCUUACCUGGGCUCGAACGUAAGAUGACUGUAGGUGAAAGCUUACAUCUCUUCGGAGCAUUUUACGAGGUGCUGCAUGGUUGUCGUCAGCUCGUGCCGUGAGGUGUCGGGUUAAGUCCCAUAACGAGCGCAACCCCUACCUUUAGUUGCCAUCAGGUUAAGCUGGGGACUCUAAAGGAACUGCCUACGCAAGUAGUGAGGAAGGCGGGGAUGACGUCAAAUCAGCACGGCCCUUACGUCCAGGGCUACACACGUGCUACAAUGGCCGAUACAGAGGGCAGCUACCUGGUGACAGGAUGCAAAUCUCCAAAGUCGGUCUCAGUUCGGAUCGGAGUCUGCAACCCGACUCCGUGAAGUUGGAUUCGCUAGUAAUCGCGCAUCAGCCAUGGCGCGGUGAAUACGUUCCCGGGCCUU